GUCGUAAUAGCCAAGUGGUAAGGCGUCUAGGGGUACCCGACUAACAAGACUAGAUAAAUCACAGGUUCGACUCCUGUUUACGGCACCA
Molecule: transfer RNA, 88 nt
Filed under: Alcaligenes faecalis
Lineage: Bacteria; Pseudomonadati; Pseudomonadota; Betaproteobacteria; Burkholderiales; Alcaligenaceae
Description: tRNA-OTHER
Rfam family: tRNA
About the family: Transfer RNA (tRNA) molecules are approximately 80 nucleotides in length.
Source: RNAcentral